UAGGGAAUCUUCGGCAAUGGGGGGAACCCUGACCGAGCAACGCCGCGUGCGUGAAGAAGGUUUUCGGAUCGUAAAGCUCUGUUGUUAAGGAAGAACGAGUGUGAGAAUGUAAAGUUCAUGCUGUGCCGGUACUUAACCAGAAAGGGACGGCUAACUACGUGCCAGCAGCCGCGGUAAUACGUAGGUCCCGAGCGUUGUCCGGAUUUAUUGGGCGUAAAGCGAGCGCAGGCGGUUAGAAAAGUCUGAAGUGAAAGGCAGUGGCUCAACCAUUGUAGGCUUUGGAAACUGUUUAACUUGAGUGCAGAAGGGGAGAGUGGAAUUCCAUGUGUAGCGGUGAAAUGCGUAGAUAUAUGGAGGAACACCGGUGGCGAAAGCGGCUCUCUGGUCUGUAACUGACGCUGAGGCUCGAAAGCGUGGGGAGCGAACAGG
This 429-nucleotide ribosomal RNA is filed under the name Bacteroidota bacterium. RNAcentral's name for it is "Bacteroidetes bacterium partial 16S ribosomal RNA". It matches the Rfam family "Bacterial small subunit ribosomal RNA", at positions 355 to 776 of the family's 1533-position model. The record is from RNAcentral. Lineage: Bacteria; Pseudomonadati; Bacteroidota.